GUCUCUUUGGAGACAUCCAAUAAAAUUGGAACUAUACAGAGAAGAUUAGCAUGGCCCCUGCACAAGGAUGACAGGCACAAAAAAAUCAGCAUUGAUAU
This is a small nuclear RNA of Mangifera indica (mango), 98 nucleotides long. The record is from RefSeq and is a predicted model, not a curated record. Lineage: Eukaryota; Viridiplantae; Streptophyta; Magnoliopsida; Sapindales; Anacardiaceae.